RNAcentral lists this ribosomal RNA (253 nucleotides) under uncultured bacterium. RNAcentral describes it as "partial 16S ribosomal RNA". It matches the Rfam family "Bacterial small subunit ribosomal RNA", at positions 524 to 776 of the family's 1533-position model. The record is from RNAcentral.
AACGUAGGAGGCAAGCGUUAUCCGGAGUUACUGGGCGUAAAGCGUAUGUAGGCGGUUGGGCAAGUGGCGUGUGAAAGCUCCCGGCUAAACUGGGAGACGACAGGUCAGACUGCGCGACUAGAGUCCGAUAGAGGAGCGUAGAAUUCCGGGUGUAGCGGUGAAAUGUGUAGAGAUCCGGAGGAAUACCAGUGGCGCAAGCGGCGCUCUGGGUCGGGACUGACGCUGAGAUACGAAAGCGUGGGGAGCGAACGGG